CGUUAUCCGGAAUCAUUGGGCGUAAAGCGCCUGUAGGUUGUUUAAUAAGUCUGUUGUUAAAGACUAGGGCUCAACCCUAGAAAAGCAAUGGAUACUACUAGACUAGAGUAUGGCAGGGGUAGAGGGAAUUUCUAGUGUAGCGGUGAAAUGCGUAGAUAUUAGAAAGAACACCGGUGGCGAAAGCGCUCUACUGGACCAUUACUGACACUCAGAGGCGAAAGCUAGGGUAGCAAAAGGGAUUAGAUACCCCUGUAGUCCUAGCCGUAAACGAUGGAUACUACAUGUUGUAUUUAUUUUACAGUAUGGUAGCUAACGCGUUAAGUAUCCUGCCUGGGGAGUACGCUCGCAAGGGUGAAACUCAAAGGAAUUGACGGGGGCCCGCACAAGCGGUGGAGCAUGUGGUUUAAUUCGAUGCAACGCGAAGAACCUUACCAGGGCUUGACAUACUGCGAAUCUCUUUGAAAGAAGAGAGUGCCUUCGGGAAUGCAGAUACAGGUGGUGCAUGGCUGUCGUCAGCUCGUGUCGUGAGAUGUUGGGUUAAGUCCCGCAACGAGCGCAACCCUUGUUUUUAGUUACCAAUUCGUUGGGUUUUCUAGAAAGACUGCCGGUGACAAACCGGAGGAAGGUGAGGAUGACGUCAAGUCAGCAUGCCCCUUAUGUCCUGGGCUACACACGUGCUACAAUGGUGAGGACAAAGAGUCGCAAGUUUGUAAAAACAAGCUAAUCUCGUAAACCUAACCUAAGUUCAGAUUGUAGGCUGCA
Molecule: ribosomal RNA, 762 nt
Filed under: uncultured marine haptophyte
Lineage: Eukaryota; Haptophyta
Description: bacterial SSU rRNA
Rfam family: Bacterial small subunit ribosomal RNA
Source: RNAcentral